RNAcentral lists this ribosomal RNA (262 nucleotides) under uncultured bacterium. Its description in RNAcentral is "partial 16S ribosomal RNA". It matches the Rfam family "Bacterial small subunit ribosomal RNA", at positions 793 to 1055 of the family's 1533-position model. The record is from RNAcentral.
GUCCAUGCCGUAAACGAUGUCUACUAGCCGUUGGGUCUUUGAGACUUUAGUGGCGCAGCUAACGCGAUAAGUAGACCGCCUGGGGAGUACGGUCGCAAGACUAAACUCAAAUGAAUUGACGGGGGCCCGCACAAGCGGUGGAGCAUGUGGUUUAAUUCGAUGCAACGCGAAGAACCUUACCUGGGUCUUGACAUAGUAAGAACUUUCCAGAGAUGGAUUGGUGCCUUAGGGAACUUACAUACAGGUGCUGCAUGGCUGUCGU